GUGAAAGCACAAGUCAGAAUCUUCUGUCUGCACAGAACAGGUACAGUGCAUGCAGCUGUAGUUCAGCACAUCAUAUUGACUAUAUGUCUCAACCUAGACUUUGAGGGGCUGCUUUCAGUGGUGAAUUUACAAUUCCUUCUCCAUUCUCAUUCAGUCCUUGACUUUU
RNAcentral lists this small RNA (166 nucleotides) under Gopherus agassizii (Agassiz's desert tortoise). Its description in RNAcentral is "TUC338 (ENSGAGG00000003165.1)". The record is from RNAcentral. Lineage: Eukaryota; Metazoa; Chordata; Testudines; Testudinidae.